UACGGAGGGGGCUAGCGUUGUUCGGAAUUACUGGGCGUAAAGCGCACGUAGGCGGCUUUGUAAGUUAGAGGUGAAAGCCCGGGGCUCAACUCCGGAAUUGCCUUUAAGACUGCAUCGCUAGUAUUGUGGAGAGGUAAGUGGAAUUCCGAGUGUAGAGGUGAAAUUCGUAGAUAUUCGGAAGAACACCAGUGGCGAAGGCGACUUACUGGACACAUAUUGACGCUGAGGUGCGAAAGCGUGGGGAGCAAACAGG
This 253-nucleotide ribosomal RNA is filed under the name uncultured bacterium. Its description in RNAcentral is "partial 16S ribosomal RNA". It matches the Rfam family "Bacterial small subunit ribosomal RNA", at positions 524 to 776 of the family's 1533-position model. The record is from RNAcentral.